ACUUCGAAGAGGACUUCCUUGGGUAGUUCAGCCGGAGCCAGUGUAGCCAACUUGGAGAGAAGAUCGGCCCUGGUAUUUUCUACUCUUAGAAUCUGUUUGAUGUCAAAGCUGCCAAAGGCAGAGAUGAUCUCUUUUACCUUUUCGAGAUACUUGGCUAUAUUGUCCUCCCGAGCUUCAUAGUUUUCGCUGAUUUGUCCCCAGGACUCUUCCAGCUUCUGACCUUGUGCGGCGUCUUUCUGAACUCCCUCGACCGUCCGAGCUUCUACAGUACCAUCGGGACUCCUC
RNAcentral lists this long non-coding RNA (285 nucleotides) under Elaeis guineensis (African oil palm). RNAcentral's name for it is "long non-coding RNA (EGUI_LNC081181)". The record is from RNAcentral. Lineage: Eukaryota; Viridiplantae; Streptophyta; Magnoliopsida; Arecales; Arecaceae.